UACGUAGGACCCAAGCGUUAUCCGGAAUUACUGGGCGUAAAGAGUUGCGUAGGUGGCAAAGUAAGCGAAUAGUGAAAGCGUAUGGCUCAACCAUAUAUACAUUAUUCGAACUGCUUAGCUAGAGAACGAGAGAGGUAGAUGGAAUUUCUAAUGUAGGGGUAAUAUCCGUAGAUAUUAGAAGGAACACCGAUGGCGUAGGCAGUCUACUGGCUCGUUUCCGACACUAAUGCACGAAAGCAUGGGGAGCAAACAGG
This 254-nucleotide ribosomal RNA is filed under the name uncultured bacterium. RNAcentral describes it as "partial 16S ribosomal RNA". It matches the Rfam family "Bacterial small subunit ribosomal RNA", at positions 524 to 776 of the family's 1533-position model. The record is from RNAcentral.